UAUAAAUCAAAUAUAUUAAAUAAUAUUUUAUUGUAAAUUAGUAUUUGGAUAAUAUAUUACCUAAAGUCUAAAGUACGUAUAUUUUAAAACAACAUAAUAGCUUCUUCAAAAAGAGAAAAAGAAUGCAAGCCCAUUUUCUAAGUGUUCAAAAUCAAACAACACUAAAAGAACCAGUCAGAAUGAGCUGGCCCUUCUCUAAAAGCCAUGGAACAUAAAUUACUUUAACAUAUUGUGCAAAGGCAUUGUCCUGCACUAGCUCCCAUAGUCUACCUUAGAGAGAAGCUUCUGCUCAGUCAUACAUUACAGAAGAAGAAGUGUUCCAUAGCUGCUGGUUGUUAGCAGUUUAUUGUGCACUGAGAAGAACGCUGGGAGCGGCUCGGACAGUCCCUCAGCAGUCCCGGCGAAGUUACGGGAAGGGCCUCUGGGAUAGCUGUUUACUGCGCACAGGAUGAAUAAAUCAAGAUAAGAAAGCCAAGGCCCAGAGAAAUUAAGUGAUUUCUCUAGGAUUCACAGGCAGAAUUUGGGAAGGCUUCCCUGAGGAAGUGAUCUUUGACCUGAAAUCUAAAGAGUGAAUGAAGUGGACAAAAAGAGGUGGACAGAGGAAGAGCAAACCAGGCAGAAAGAAU
Molecule: long non-coding RNA, 626 nt
Filed under: Equus caballus (horse)
Lineage: Eukaryota; Metazoa; Chordata; Mammalia; Perissodactyla; Equidae
Description: lncRNA (ENSECAG00000055988.1)
Source: RNAcentral